GGGGAAUAUUGCGCAAUGGAGGGAACUCUGACGCAGCGACGCCGCGUGAAGGAAGAAGGCCUUCGGGUUGUAAACUUCUUUGAUCGGGGACGAAAAUGACGGUACCCGAGGAACAAGCCACGGCUGACUACGUGCCAGCAGCCGCGGUAAUACGUAGGUGGCGAGCGUUGUCCGGAAUUACUGGGUGUAAAGGGCGUGUAGGCGGGGCGUCAAGUCAGGUGUGAAAUUCCGAGGCUUAACUUCGGGUGUGCAUCUGAAACUGAUGUUCUUGAGUGUCGGAGAGGAAAGUGGAAUUCCUAGUGUAGCGGUGAAAUGCGUAGAUAUUAGGAAGAACACCAGUGGCGAAGGCGACUUUCUGGACGAAAACUGACGCUGAGGCGCGAAAGCCAGGGGAGCGAACG
Molecule: ribosomal RNA, 401 nt
Filed under: uncultured Oscillospiraceae bacterium
Lineage: Bacteria; Bacillati; Bacillota; Clostridia; Eubacteriales; Oscillospiraceae
Description: bacterial SSU rRNA
Rfam family: Bacterial small subunit ribosomal RNA
Source: RNAcentral